GCUGCUCGGCGGCGGGCGGCGCCCUGUCGCGCUGCCCCGGAACUUUAUCCGGAGGAAGAGCCCCGAAGCGCUACUGACAAACUGGGGGAGCAGCAGCGCUAACGCCCUCCUGAGGACGGGGAAGGGGACUCUUGGCCUUCUCUGCUUUCGCUGUGCGCCUGCACAGUUGUAUAGAACCGUGAGGCGGGAGGCAGCUCUGGGCUCUUGAUGGACUUGGCAGCCAACGAAAAGGCAGUUCAUGCAGACUUUUUUAAUGGAACAGGCCCAGUCUGUGGGUCGGAAGCUGAGCAUGGCCAGGCUUCCUGCAGAGUUGUUUUCAGCAUCCUGGCCCUUCUGCUGCCUUCUGCAGGCCUCUGGCACUUUCAUUUUCCUGGUGCAGACGUGGGCCCUAAUGUGUCCCCACAUGCAGCAUGGUUGCAAGGUGAUCGUCCCUGUGUGCA
Molecule: long non-coding RNA, 440 nt
Organism: Octodon degus (degu)
Lineage: Eukaryota; Metazoa; Chordata; Mammalia; Rodentia; Octodontidae
Exons: 3
Source: RefSeq, a predicted model, not a curated record